GAUGAACGCUGGCGGCGUGCUUAAUACAUGCAAGUCGAACGGAAGGGCCCUGCUCUUGCGGGGUGCUCGAGUGGCGAACGGGGGAGUAACACGCGUGUAACCCGUCCCUGACUUUGGGAUAACUUUAGGAAACUGGGGCGCAUAUCGGAUAGGAGCUCCUGCUGCACGGUGGGGGUUGGUAAGUUUCGGCGGUUGUGGAUAGAUUAGCUGCUUAUCCGCUUCAUGGUGGGGUAGUGGCUUACCAAGGCUUCGACGGGUAGCCGGCCUGAGAGCGUGACCGGCCACAUUGGUACUGAGAUAGGGCCCAGUCUCCAACGGGAGGCAGCAGUGGAGAAUAUUGCAGAGUGGGCGGGAGCGUGAUACGGCAACGCCGGGUGCGUGAUGACGGCCUACGGGUUGUAAACCGCUUUCGCCUGUGACGAGGCGUGAGUGACGGUAAUGGGUAAAGAAGCACCGGCUAACUACGUG
Molecule: ribosomal RNA, 468 nt
Filed under: uncultured bacterium
Lineage: Bacteria
Description: partial 16S ribosomal RNA
Rfam family: Bacterial small subunit ribosomal RNA
Source: RNAcentral